Molecule: ribosomal RNA, 439 nt
Filed under: uncultured bacterium
Lineage: Bacteria
Description: partial 16S ribosomal RNA
Rfam family: Bacterial small subunit ribosomal RNA
Source: RNAcentral
CUACGGGAGGCUGCAGUGAGGAAUAUUGCACAAUGGGGGGAACCCUGAUGCAGCAACGCCGCGUGGAGGAUGACGCAUUUCGGUGUGUAAACUCCUUUUAUAUGUCAAGAAAAUGACGGUAGCAUAUGAAUAAGCACCGGCUAACUCCGUGCCAGCAGCCGCGGUAAUACGGAGGGUGCAAGCGUUACUCGGAAUCACUGGGCGUAAAGGACGCGUAGGCGGGCUGGAAAGUCAGGUGUGAAAUCCUACAGCUUAACUGUAGAACUGCACUUGAAACUUCUAAUCUAGAGUAUGGGAGGGGGAGAUGGAAUUAGUGGUGUAGGGGUAGAAUCCGUAGAUAUCACUAGGAAUACCUAAAGCGAAGGCGAUCUCCUGGAACAUUACUGACGCUAAGGCGUGAAAGCGUGGGGAGCAAACAGGAUUAGAUACCCCAGUAGUC